This is a long non-coding RNA of Cotesia glomerata, 200 nucleotides long. RefSeq lists it as uncharacterized. NCBI's taxonomy places the organism in Eukaryota, Metazoa, Arthropoda, Insecta, Hymenoptera, Braconidae. The transcript is spliced from 3 exons. The record is from RefSeq and is a predicted model, not a curated record.
UAAAAAAUACAAAAUUCAAAAUUUUUUGAAAAUGAAAAAAAUUUUCAAACACCCACAACUCGUAAACUAACCGGCCGAUUUUGCUCAUCUUUGAACUUGAUCUUGGUAUUGAUCCACAGAAUAAGCCCACAAAAUUUCAUAAAGAUCGGUUGAGAACUGUGGGCGCAAUCCUGCUGACAUGGCGCGUGCAAUAAUUAUUU